Larimichthys crocea (large yellow croaker) is the source of this 116-nucleotide non-coding RNA. The record is from Rfam. Lineage: Eukaryota; Metazoa; Chordata; Actinopteri; Sciaenidae.
GUUGCAGGUACGGUGACAUGGUGCCAAAAACAAUCGUGGGGAAGGUGUUUGGGUCCAUAUGCUCUCUGAGUGGGGUGCUGGUCAUCGCCUUGCCUGUCCCUGUCAUCGUGUCAAAC